Non-coding RNA from Poecilia reticulata (guppy), 475 nucleotides. NCBI's taxonomy places the organism in Eukaryota, Metazoa, Chordata, Actinopteri, Cyprinodontiformes, Poeciliidae. The record is from RefSeq and is a predicted model, not a curated record.
GAGUCAAACAGUGGAGAUUACAGGUGUCUGUGUUUACUCAAAGAUGAUGGGUUUUCUUUGACAGAGUGGAGUGAACCCAUCUCAGUGUCCGUAUCAGGUAAACCAAAGGCCCAACUGAGUACGGACAGCACAGAGCUACCAGUAGGAGGCAACGUAAUGCUGACCUGCUCACUAAACGCAUCGUCAUCAUCAUUUAGUUGGAAAUAUUUCUGGUACAGAGGAGAAAAAUCCUCAGAGCCUCUGACCAGAGAAUGGACAAAUGGACAAAUGAGCGUCUCAGAGGAAGGACUGUACUGGUGCAGAGGAGGAAGAGGAGAACCAGUUUACUACACAGACUACAGUGAUCACAUCCGCAUCAUAUCCGUUGAGUCCAGCGGCCCAGUCGGCUCUUCAUUAUUUGUGUUGUUGGUUGUUGGUCUCCUCGGUGGAAUCAGUCUCAUUAUUCUGCUGCUCUUGUUUUGGCGCAGCAGACAGA